RNAcentral lists this ribosomal RNA (406 nucleotides) under uncultured bacterium. RNAcentral describes it as "partial 16S ribosomal RNA". It matches the Rfam family "Bacterial small subunit ribosomal RNA", at positions 30 to 526 of the family's 1533-position model. The record is from RNAcentral.
AUUGAACGCUGGCGGCAGGCCUAACACAUGCAAGUCGAACGAGUGGCGGACGGGUGAGUAAUGUCUGGGAAACUGCCUGAUGGAGGGGGAUAACUACUGGAAACGGUAGCUAAUACCGCAUACCAUCGGAUGUGCCCAGGUGGGAUUAGCUAGUAGGUGGGGUAAAGGCUCACCUAGGCGACGAUCGCUAGCUGGUCUGAGAGGAUGACCAGCCACACUGGGACUGAGACACGGCCCAGACUCCUACGGGAGGCAGCAGUGGGGAAUAUUGCACAAUGGGCGCAAGCCUGAUGCAGCCAUGCCGCGUGUAUGAAGAAGGCCUUCGGGUUGUAAAGUACUUUCAGCGGGGAGGCGUUACCCACAGAAGAAGCACCGGCUAACUCCGUGCCAGCAGCCGCGGUAAUAC